Microcebus murinus (gray mouse lemur) is the source of this 419-nucleotide non-coding RNA. The record is from RefSeq and is a predicted model, not a curated record. Lineage: Eukaryota; Metazoa; Chordata; Mammalia; Primates; Cheirogaleidae.
CCCUUCUGGAAAGCAGCUGCCCACCUUUCUCCUUAUCCUCUCAAACCCUGAGAUGCAGGCAGGGGAUGCCAUCGUGAGGGGCUGGGGGUGGCCCGCCCCGGAGGCCUGGUCGGGUGGGAGCAGGACCUCCAGAUAAAAUACGGGACACUCAGCUAACAUUGGAUCGCAGGAGAAAUGCUCCUUCAGAACUCCAUCCCGAAGGGGACAGUCAAAGACACAGGCUUAUGCGCGCACAAACCUCCAAACCGGAGGCAGCCCAAAGACGUCCACAAGGCUGCAUCCCUGCAGCCUAAAUGUCUUCAAACUUUCGGGGAGGCUCGAGAGGAUUCCAUAUUUCCAGGCUCCAAGUUCUAUUUUUCUUAGCCAAUUCUGGCAUUUGGACAUGCGGAAGAACAAAACAUAUGGCAUCAAUUAAAACA